RNAcentral lists this ribosomal RNA (273 nucleotides) under Rhizophagus irregularis. Lineage: Eukaryota; Fungi; Glomeromycota; Glomeromycetes; Glomerales; Glomeraceae. The record is from RNAcentral.
CAGUCGUACCUGCGGGUAAUCAGCCUUUUGGGCAUGAUUCUGUGGAGCGUGAGGAGUUAAACGCCUUCAUGCCUGCAUAUUCGUGUACUUUGGGUGUACUUGCCUGUGUGGUUAGUUAACAUCAAUUUUGGUUAUCAUAAAAUGACUGGAGGAAUGUAGCUUCGAUCUCGUAUUGAAGUGUUAUAGCCUUUGGUAGAUGUGAUUGUUUGAGACCGAGGAUUGCAACGGAUACCCUUUAGGGCUAUUCGUCUGAUCUCUGAUACGUUGCCUUGA